CCCCUAGAUGUUCUGGGCCGCACGCGCGCUACACUGAACAGUUCAACAAGUCUUAACCUUGGCCGAUAGGUCUGGGUAAUCUUUGAACGCUGUUCGUGAUUGGGAUAGACCUUUGCAAUUAUGGGUCUUCAACGAGGAAUUCCUAGUAAACGCAAGUCAUCAGCUUGCAUUGAUUACGUCCCUGCCCUUUGUACACACCGCCCGUCGCACCUACCGAUUGAAUGGUCCGGUGAAAUCUCGGGACGGCGGCUUGGUCGCUUGCGUCCGACUGCUGAAACUUGAUUAAACCAUACCAUUUAGAGGAAGGUGAAGUCGUAACA
RNAcentral lists this ribosomal RNA (320 nucleotides) under uncultured eukaryote. Its description in RNAcentral is "partial 18S ribosomal RNA". It matches the Rfam family "Eukaryotic small subunit ribosomal RNA", at positions 1470 to 1796 of the family's 1831-position model. The record is from RNAcentral.